GAAACCUAUUGUUACAUAUUGCAAUACCAACAUUCCAAAAAUCUGUGCACUAACUCGAUGCAUCUUAUAUCAGUUGACCAUUUUUUAUUAUGAUUGGACUGAUAUCGGAUAGAAUGCCCAAUUAUUUGAAACUGUGCUUGAAACAAUUGAACAUGGAUGCUUAUGGGUUUUUGUGUUUGGAUUUUAACUCUUUCAUGUCAAAAUAGCAUUUG
This 212-nucleotide unclassified non-coding RNA is filed under the name Hevea brasiliensis (rubber tree). The record is from RNAcentral. Lineage: Eukaryota; Viridiplantae; Streptophyta; Magnoliopsida; Malpighiales; Euphorbiaceae.